AUCUAUGGCCAUACCACCCUGAACUUGCCCGAUCUUUUCUGAUCUCCAAAGCUAAGUAGGGUUGGGCCUGGUUAGUACUUGGAAGUGAGAAAGAAGUUACAGCCACAGAUA
Molecule: ribosomal RNA, 111 nt
Filed under: Jaculus jaculus (lesser Egyptian jerboa)
Lineage: Eukaryota; Metazoa; Chordata; Mammalia; Rodentia; Dipodidae
Source: RNAcentral